AUGGAGAAGGUGGAAGGAUUACUGCAGAAGUUGAACCUUUCGGAGGCGGAGACGAAGGGAGUGAGGAUUGGAAGAGGGGAAGGGGGGAAGGGGACGGCUGCAGACCCCCAAGCCAUGGGUAAGGUGUUGGCGGAGAAGCCAGUUUAUGUUGAAGGCAUGAUCAAAUCCCUCGGGAGAGCCUGGUGUCCGCUAAAAGGGAUAAAGUGCAAGGAUCUGGGUGAAAAUGUGUUUCUAUUCACUUUUCUGCAUGCUUCAGGUAAAAGAAAAGCGCCUGGGAAUGUCCCUUGGAUGGUGGGGAAGGAUCUGAUAGUUUUGGAGGAUUUUGACCCGCUGAAGACUAUCGAAGAGUAUGAAUUCAAGUAUAUUCCGACCUGGGCCAGAGUCAUGAAAAUGCCACUAGGUCUGAUGAAUGAGGACAAUGGAGAAAGUAUUGGUAACCAAAUUGGUGAUACGCUGGAGGUGGAGAUUGGAGAGGAUGAUUCGGCAAUAGGUAGCUUUCUAAGAGUGAAGGUGAAACUGGACAUAUCCAUGCCUCUCCUACGGGGUGUUACGUUGGACAUUAAGAGGGAGAAGGAAAAAGCUAGGGGUACCUAUAUAGAGAUGGAAGUGGACAAGGAUAAAAAGAAGAGAGAUGAUCAGAAGCUAUGUCCUCUAGAGUAUGAAUAUUUGCCAGAUUUUUGUUACACAUGUAGAAUCAUAGGUCACGUGGACAAGUUAUGUUCCACCAAAUUGGCAAGGGGCGAGAUCUAG
RNAcentral lists this ribosomal RNA (750 nucleotides) under Triticum aestivum (bread wheat). RNAcentral's name for it is "partial small subunit ribosomal RNA". Lineage: Eukaryota; Viridiplantae; Streptophyta; Magnoliopsida; Poales; Poaceae. The record is from RNAcentral.